RNAcentral lists this ribosomal RNA (468 nucleotides) under uncultured bacterium. RNAcentral describes it as "partial 16S ribosomal RNA". It matches the Rfam family "Bacterial small subunit ribosomal RNA", at positions 28 to 507 of the family's 1533-position model. The record is from RNAcentral.
GACGAACGCUGGCGGCGUGCUUAACACAUGCAAGUCGAACGGAAAGGCCCUGCUUGUGUGGGGUGCUCGAGUGGCGAACGGGUGAGUAACACGUGAGUAACCUGCCCUUGACUUUGGGAUAACUUCAGGAAACUGGGGCUAAUACCGGAUAGGAGCUCCUGCUGCAUGGUGGGGGUUGGAAAGUUUCGGCGGUUGGGGAUGGACGCGCGGCUUAUCAGCUUGUUGGUGGGGUAGUGGCUUACCAAGGCUUUGACGGGUAGCCGGCCUGAGAGGGUGACCGGCCACAUUGGGACUGAGAUACGGCCCAGACUCCUACGGGAGGCAGCAGUGGGGAAUAUUGCACAAUGGGCGGAAGCCUGAUGCAGCAACGCCGCGGGCGGGAUGACGGCCUUCGGGUUGUAAACCGCUUUCGCCUGUGACGAAGCGUGAGUGACGGUAAUGGGUAAAGAAGCACCGGCUAACUACGUG